AGGGCAGUGCAUACUGCGGUUGCUACGGAAAAUUUUUCUAAGUCUUUGACGUUUCGUGGCCUUGUUGUUUACGAUUCGGACUUAGAAAAGUUUUAGCAACUUUGGUUGGUUUCUGAGGACGGCAUGAUCGUGAACUUGGGAGUGAAAAUGGACAUUAAGGAACAUAUAAGGAAAAAGGAUGGUUUUAUGCAUUGAUACGCUAGGGAAACACGAUUCAAUCAGAAAUCAAACGAAGUUCAAAAAGAGCUGAUGACCUUGGCCAUAAGGAAAGGGUUUGCAAAACCUGCAUUGAGCAAAUUUAAUUCGGGAACAAGGCGCCUACAAUUGAUCGUUUAGGAAAGUUCUACGCUACUUUUGGUUUACUCGCAGACCGUUGGAUUACAAGAGUUGAACUACUGAUCAUGUACUGAAUAAGAUUUACGAUUGCUCCACAAUGACUUUCAAUCACUACGGUGCCGAUAUUAGAAAAGACAAGGACGCUGGCUGUAUCUUUCCCGCAAGGCCAAUCUGAACCUUCCAGUAAUGCCAACUCUGAGCCAUUAUGUUUGCAGAUAAAUAAGCACAUCGUCAUGCCGAAAUCUAAAUAAAAGAGAGAGAAAAAACU
Aedes albopictus (Asian tiger mosquito) is the source of this 604-nucleotide long non-coding RNA. RefSeq lists it as uncharacterized. The transcript has 2 exons. The record is from RefSeq and is a predicted model, not a curated record. Lineage: Eukaryota; Metazoa; Arthropoda; Insecta; Diptera; Culicidae.